GAGACUCUGUGCGCGUGCAUAUCAAUAAGCGGAGGAAAAGAAACUAACAAGGAUUCCCCUAGUAACGGCGAGUGAAGCGGGAAGAGCUCAAAUUUGAAAUCUUCAAGGGUUUCCCUUGACGAAUUGUAGUUUAAAGAAGUGUUUUCUGUUAGAGAGGUGGUAAAAGUUCUUUGGAAUAGGACAUCAUAGGGGGUGAGAAUCCCGUAUUUGAUCACUUUCUACUAACGUUGUGAUACACUUUCAAAGAGUCGGAUUGUUUGGGAAUGCAGUCCAAAAUGGGUGGUAAAUUUCAUCUAAAGCUAAAUACUGGCGAGAGACCGAUAGCGAACAAGUACCGUGAGGGAAAGAUGAAAAGAACUUUGAAAAGAGAGUUAAACAGUACGUGAAAUUGUCAAAAGGGAAGCGUUUGACACCAGUGUUGUUUUUCCGAAAAUCAAUUACGAAUGUUUUGUUUUUAAGAAGUUAUGACUUCAUCGGCUUGCUUCUUUCUUUACGAAACUUUCUUAAUGCACUUUUCGGUUAACAAGUCAACAUCAAUUUCUUUUGUUGUAAAAGGGUAUGAGGAAGGUGGCUUUCUUUUCGGAGAAAGUGUUUAUAGCCUUGUGCCUCUGCAAUCGGAGAGAUUGAGGUCUGCAGCGUAGAUCCUUCGGGGUUAGAUACAUUUGUGCUAAGUUAUAGCUUUUCAUAGACAACUUGUUGACUAUGCUCAGUCAUGUAGCUUACUCGCUUGUGCUAUUUUACCUACGCUUAGGAUGUUGAACUCUAUCACACACAG
RNAcentral lists this ribosomal RNA (775 nucleotides) under uncultured Neocallimastigales. Its description in RNAcentral is "partial large subunit ribosomal RNA". It matches the Rfam family "Eukaryotic large subunit ribosomal RNA", at positions 23 to 621 of the family's 3401-position model. Lineage: Eukaryota; Fungi; Neocallimastigomycota; Neocallimastigomycetes; Neocallimastigales. The record is from RNAcentral.